GUUUAUGGCUAUAACUCCCUGAAUGCCCUAUCUCGUGUGAUUUUGGAAAUUAAACAGGGUCAGGCCUAGUUAGUACUGGUCUAGGAGAAAUGAGGGAAAAAAUAAAAA
RNAcentral lists this ribosomal RNA (108 nucleotides) under Jaculus jaculus (lesser Egyptian jerboa). The record is from RNAcentral. Lineage: Eukaryota; Metazoa; Chordata; Mammalia; Rodentia; Dipodidae.